Long non-coding RNA from Amblyraja radiata (thorny skate), 182 nucleotides. RefSeq lists it as uncharacterized. NCBI's taxonomy places the organism in Eukaryota, Metazoa, Chordata, Chondrichthyes, Rajiformes, Rajidae. The transcript is spliced from 3 exons. The record is from RefSeq and is a predicted model, not a curated record.
UUUGUGUCCUGGAGAACCACAUUUUCAGGAAAUAUUAGUUUAUAUUUUAAACCAAAGAGUCAAAUGAAUAAGGCAGAUGAACUGAGAGCACCCAUUAACUUCACCCACUAAUGGGAACAAGAGCUGAUUGAGACUGUCAUGAGACAGGUUAGUUUUACCCUACUGAUGAUGUGCUGUGAAAC